GACUUUGCAGCUGCACCCUCCAUCUGAUUUUUUUUUUCUCUGCUGUUUUCCUUUCUCGUCACACCUGAUUUUUGGAGAUGAAGACCAUGUUUUUGUUGCCUCAUUUCAAAGGGAGCAGCUGGCCCUAUGGAAGGAAAGAAAAGAGCCACACCAUCCUCUAACUAGGAAAGAAAUCACUGCUGAUCACAAAAUCAGAAUCAAACAUUCUGGUUUCCUAUUUCUGCUCACCCGAGAAUACACCCUAGAGUUAAUGUAAUAUUUGUUUCCUAAGUAAAGCCGUGUAUAGGCUAUAUAGAAGCCUCGGCUGCUGACCUAAAGGGAAGGGGAAAAACGCAAAAAAAAAAGAGCAUAAAAGGGGGCAGAAAAAAGGAAGGAGAAAAAGAUUCAUGGAGGAUGUAAUUUUUCAGAAAAGAGAGGAAAGACACAAAAAAAAAGACCUAAAUCUAAACCCUCUCUAGAGGAGCCGCAGCCCCCUCUCAUCUUUUAAAAACGAAGUGAGCCACCCCCUGACUUUGAAAAGAAAACAGAGUGAGGAGAGAAAGUAAAAAAACAGAGAGAAGAGGCCGAAAACACAGGGAAGAGAAAGCAGAGAGAGACGCAAAGAAAGAGUGAAGAAAAAACCGAGAGAACCCGCAUAAGGCUGAGUUGAGAGACACAGAAAAACGAGGCCGAAAGGCAAAGGCUUUUCCAUCUAUCUGAACUUCAUCUUCUGCAUUCAGACAAGUAAGAUCUGCAGGUUAGUUUUCCAAUUUUUUUUUCUUCCUUGCUAUAUUCAAACUUGACAUCUGUUGUUUUUUUUCUGUUCCAAACCUGUUCCUUCCUUUUGCUCUGGAUAUUUGUUUCUGGUUGGACAAAAGGACAUUGCUUGCCCACGGUUCAUGCAUGGCUUGGAGUUUAGAUUUUUUUGUUCAUGUUAAAGUUACGUUUCUUUUCUUAUUCUCUUGCCGUGAGGAACCGUGAGCUUUAAAGGCUUUCAUUAUCUUUCCCUUUCUUUGUCCGAGUGUCUCUUUGCCUUAGGAUGUUGCAUAGUUUGAGUUUGGCUCCUAAAUAAAGCUCUAUCUAGAAAGUGAAACACGAGGGAAGUCCCUUUAGAGUCAAGGCGGUCUUUUAGCAGACUUUCGGUUCAUGUUUUCAUUUUGAUUGUUUUUUCUGAAAAAAGAGCUAGCUGGCCGUUGGUUUGUGUUUGUAGUUCUGUAUUUGCUUCAGUAUAAAGGUGUUGCUCAAGUCGUUUCCUUUUGCAUGAGACUAACGAGUGUGGCAGUAUUAAAGAUCGGAAAAAGGAUGGGUGUUGAGUCAUGGUUACUGUUAUAGGUUUUGGUUUUCAGAAUUGUGGUCUUCUUGUGCAUACAGACUUGUUAUUUUUUUUUAGUUAUAGGAUUUGGGUUUAAAUGGACGGACUGAAUCUUGUGUGAGUAAAGUUUGGCUUUGGGAAAUUUAUUUUUUAUAUAUAUCAGUGUUUUGGGCCUUUUGCAAAUUUUGGAAUGGAUGUGUAUGGCUGUUUUUUUUUUUCUUUUUUGUGAUGCUUGCGUUUUGACAAAAAAAAAAUAUAAAACAAUGUUUUUGCGUGUUGCAUACGGCCAAUACCCUAACAUGUUUUGAACUUUUUUUAUAUACAAAAAAUAUUGGAAGUUUCGAAAAUGUGUUUUCGCAUGGAUUUCUUAAACACACAAAAAAAAUUAUUUUUUUUGCAUUUCUGGAUUUUACAACAUGUUUGUAAAACUCCAAAGGGUAUUGGCCAAUAUUUCAAAAAAAUAUAAAAAUCUUAUUUUGGGGGGAAUUCAUCUAUUAUUCACCGCUAAUGUUUGGAUAAAGAAAUCCUUAAAGGACGAAUAUCCAAAAUAUUAUUGGGAGUAAUAAAUCCACACACAUCCUUGAAAGAAGCCUUGAUUAUAAUCGAGGACAUUUCAAUUUUUUACUCCAUGGUUUACGAGCCGUGAGAGUAUAAAACACUAAGACAAAAAAAAUAGGUUUUUUAAAGCACCCUAGAUUUCUAAAUUUUUGUCCCUCCUCCUUGCGAUUUACGAGUCACAAACUCUUGAAAUACCAAGGGAAAAAUGAGCUUGUAAAGCACAUGGAAUCUCCUUGGAUUUCUAUCUUAAUAAAUUUAGUUAGAAUCAAACUUAGAAAAACUGAUGGAAUUAGGAAACACCAACACCAUAGAAAUUAUAAGACAAACCAAACACCAAGUAGCUUACCUUAGGUAGGGCGUACUAGGGGUGCUAAUACCUUCCCUUUACGCAACCAGUCCCUUGCCUUAGAAUCUCUGAAAGACCAGUUAGGGUUCCUAGUGACCAUAAUACUAGGUGGCGACUCCCUUAUUCACAAAGAAAACAAAGGACCCCGAAAUCAAUCGAGGGUUCGCCGCGACGCCGCGCUCCACCGCGAGGGUGCGACAAUGCUGAUGCAGAGUUGAUUCAAGGUGGGGAUUCCAAUACCAUCAACAAGGUUACAUGCCUGGUAACAAUCUCUGCUCUGCUAUAACAUAUAGCCACAUUGUUUUCACUGUAUUAGAAGAAUAAAAAAUACCAAGUACUGUUGAUUAGAAAUUUUUUAGGAAUUAAUUCAAGUAUUGAUGCACUAAGUCAAGUAGAUAACGGUAAUAAUUUAUUUAGAAUUGUAAUAGAUUUACAUGGUUAAAAAUUACAUAUCGUUUAGAACUAAAUUAAGGCUCUGUUUGUUUGCAGAAAAGUUGUUUCCUUUUGAAAAGUGAAUUUCGGGGAAAGUGAAUUCCGGG
This 2734-nucleotide long non-coding RNA is filed under the name Populus trichocarpa (black cottonwood). RNAcentral describes it as "long non-coding RNA (PTRI_LNC003226)". Lineage: Eukaryota; Viridiplantae; Streptophyta; Magnoliopsida; Malpighiales; Salicaceae. The record is from RNAcentral.